GGCGCUGUAGUGUAGCGGUUUAUCACGUGGGAUUUUGACUUUGUUGAUUUCCCAAGCCCCAGGUUCGAUCCCUGGCAGUGCCU
Non-coding RNA from Heliocybe sulcata, 83 nucleotides. The record is from the annotation of a GenBank genome assembly. Lineage: Eukaryota; Fungi; Basidiomycota; Agaricomycetes; Gloeophyllales; Gloeophyllaceae.